AUGCUUCGUGAUGACCGUCUGCCCCACAGAGAUGCCCUUCUCGCCAGCCUUGGACUUCUGACAGAAGAGGUACACAAAGAUGAGAGAAAAGAAACAGGAGAAAGGGAAAAGGAGAAAUAGCCAUAGGAACAAUGGAAGAAGAACCAGCCAACAGCUUUCUACCACCCCUCAUGACAGCAGAAGCACAGAAUUUGCCUGGCCAUCGCACCAGUGUUAAAAUCUUCCCAUUGUUAAUCAAGAAAAUGAACAUCCAUCUAUCAACCUA
This is a long non-coding RNA of Leopardus geoffroyi (Geoffroy's cat), 265 nucleotides long. RefSeq lists it as uncharacterized. The transcript has 2 exons. The record is from RefSeq and is a predicted model, not a curated record. Lineage: Eukaryota; Metazoa; Chordata; Mammalia; Carnivora; Felidae.